UACAGAGGGUGCAAGCGUUAAUCGGAAUUACUGGGCGUAAAGCGUGCGCAGGCGGUUCGUUGUGUCGGCGGUGAAAGCCCCGGGCUUAACCUGGGAAUGGCCGUUGAAACUGGCGAACUGGAGUGUGGCAGAGGGGGGUGGAAUUCCGCGUGUAGCAGUGAAAUGCGUAGAGAUGCGGAGGAACACCGAUGGCGAAGGCAGCCCCCUGGGCUGACACUGACGCUCAGGCACGAAAGCGUGGGGAGCAAACAGG
RNAcentral lists this ribosomal RNA (253 nucleotides) under uncultured bacterium. Its description in RNAcentral is "partial 16S ribosomal RNA". It matches the Rfam family "Bacterial small subunit ribosomal RNA", at positions 524 to 776 of the family's 1533-position model. The record is from RNAcentral.